UAGCCUUGACAUUGAUAGAACACUUUAGAGAUAGAGUGGUGCCCUUCGGGGAACUUGAAAACAGGUGCUGCACGGCUGUCGUCAGCCCGUGUCGUGAGAUGUUGGGUUAAGUCCCGCAACGAGCGCAACCCUCGUCCUUAGUUGCCAGCAGGUUAAGCUGGGCACUCUAAGGAGACUGCCUUCGCAAGGAGGAGGAAGGUGAGGACGACGUCAAGUCAUCAUGGCCCUUAUGGCUAGGGCUACACACGUGCUACAAUGGGGCGUACAGAGAGUUGCGAUACCGCGAGGUGGAGCCAAUCUCAUAAAGCGUCUCUCAGUUCGGAUUGGAGUCUGCAACUCGACUCCAUGAAGC
RNAcentral lists this ribosomal RNA (352 nucleotides) under uncultured bacterium. Its description in RNAcentral is "bacterial SSU rRNA". It matches the Rfam family "Bacterial small subunit ribosomal RNA", at positions 976 to 1326 of the family's 1533-position model. The record is from RNAcentral.